Molecule: transfer RNA, 73 nt
Filed under: Jatropha curcas
Lineage: Eukaryota; Viridiplantae; Streptophyta; Magnoliopsida; Malpighiales; Euphorbiaceae
Rfam family: tRNA
About the family: Transfer RNA (tRNA) molecules are approximately 80 nucleotides in length. Their secondary structure includes four short double-helical elements and three loops (D, anti-codon, and T loops).
Source: Rfam by way of RNAcentral
GGAGAUGUAGCUCAGAUGGUAGAGAGCAUGCUUAGCAAGCGAGAGGUACGGGGAUCGAUACCCCCCAUUUCCA